RNAcentral lists this long non-coding RNA (358 nucleotides) under Homo sapiens (human). RNAcentral describes it as "HSALNT0311871". Lineage: Eukaryota; Metazoa; Chordata; Mammalia; Primates; Hominidae. The record is from RNAcentral.
AGUCCUCUAUCCGACUUGAUCGUGCAGAGUUGGUUCGCACCGCCCAGUGAGGGGAAGCUGUUUUCUCGUCGAUUGAUAGGCUCCGGGUCUGGGUAGGAGAGGCUGCCCUGUAUGAGGUAGCUUGAAGGGCCGCUGACAGGAGGAAACGCUUCCGAAUUUUCCAGACGUGUUGACGUUUGAGGGUGCUGACUACACGUUAAGGAACUUUAUUGUCACGCCUUUGGGAAUAUACUGCCAGGCUCUUCCUAGAUAUAUUCAUUCUCUUUAAAAUGAGCAUGUCUACCUGGGUUCACCAGAAACUAAGUUUUUCUUAGCCUUUUGUGAGGCAACUGAAAAAUAAAUUGAACUGUAGGCCCUU